CAGCAGCCGCGGUAAUACAGAGGAUGCAAGCGUUAUCCGGAUUUAUUGGGCGUAAAGGGCUCGCAGGCGGUUUCUUAAGUCUGAAGUUAAAGGCUGUGGCUUAACCAUAGUACGCUUUGGAAACUGUUUAGCUUGAGUGCAGAAGGGGAGAGUGGAAUUCCAUGUGUAGCGGUGAAAUGCGUAGAUAUAUGGAGGAACACCGGUGGCGAAAGCGGCUCUCUGGUCUGUAACUGACGCUGAGGCUCGAAAGCGUGGGGAGCAAACAGGAUUAGAUACCCGGGUAGUCCCUGUCUCUUAUACC
This 301-nucleotide ribosomal RNA is filed under the name uncultured bacterium. RNAcentral describes it as "partial 16S ribosomal RNA". It matches the Rfam family "Bacterial small subunit ribosomal RNA", at positions 509 to 808 of the family's 1533-position model. The record is from RNAcentral.